RNAcentral lists this ribosomal RNA (497 nucleotides) under uncultured bacterium. RNAcentral describes it as "partial 16S ribosomal RNA". It matches the Rfam family "Bacterial small subunit ribosomal RNA", at positions 28 to 507 of the family's 1533-position model. The record is from RNAcentral.
GAUGAACGCUGGCGGCGUGCCUAAUACAUGCAAGUCGAGCGAACAGACGAGGAGCUUGCUCCUCUGACGUUAGCGGCGGACGGGUGAGUAACACGUGGAUAACCUACCUAUAAGACUGGGAUAACUUCGGGAAACCGGAGCUAAUACCGGAUAAUAUAUUGAACCGCAUGGUUCAAUAGUGAAAGACGGUUUUGCUGUCACUUAUAGAUGGAUCCGCGCCGCAUUAGCUAGUUGGUAAGGUAACGGCUUACCAAGGCCACGAUGCGUAGCCGACCUGAGAGGGUGAUCGGCCACACUGGAACUGAGACACGGUCCAGACUCCUACGGGAGGCAGCAGUAGGGAAUCUUCCACAAUGGGCGAAAGCUUGACGGAGCAACGCCGCGUGAAUGAUGAAGGUCUUCGGAUCGUAAAACUCUGUUAUUAGGGAAGAACAAAUGUGUAAGUAACUAUGCACGUCUUGACGGUACCUAAUCAGAAAGCCACGGCUAACUACGUG